GGGUUGUGAGGUUAAGCGACUAAGCGUACACGGUGGAUGCCCUGGCAGUCAGAGGCGAUGAAGGGCGUGCUAAUCUGCGAUAAGCGCCGGUAAGGUGAUAUGAACCGUUAUAACCGGCGAUACCCGAAUGGGGAAACCCAGUGUGACUCGUCACACUAUCAUUAACUGAAUCCAUAGGUUAAUGAGGCGAACCGGGGGAACUGAAACAUCUAAGUACCCCGAGGAAAAGAAAUCAACCGAGAUUCCCCCAGUAGCGGCGAGCGAACGGGGAGGAGCCCAGAGCCUGAAUCAGCAUGUGUGUUAGUGGAAGCGUCUGGAAAGGCGCGCGAUACAGGGUGACAGCCCCGUACACAAAAGCGCAUGUGCUGUGAGCUCGAUGAGUAGGGCGGGACACGUGGUAUCCUGUCUGAAUAUGGGGGGACCAUCCUCCAAGGCUAAAUACUCCUGACUGACCGAUAGUGAACCAGUACCGUGAGGGAAAGGCGAAAAGAACCCCGGCGAGGGGAGUGAAAAAGAACCUGAAACCGUGUACGUACAAGCAGUGGGAGCCCCACCACCAAAGCAUUUGCUGUACCGCGUUGACGGAGCGAAGCGACGUCAAACCGAUAAAACAGCAGUGUAAAGUGAGCCGCAGGGCGCUUUGCGCGACAGCGCAAAGGCAGGCGGUUUCGCGUAGCGAAAGCGAAUGCUUUGGGGUGGGGUGACUGCGUACCUUUUGUAUAAUGGGUCAGCGACUUAUAUUCUGUAGCAAGGUUAACCGAAUAGGGGAGCCGGAGGGAAACCGAGUCUUAAUUGGGCGUUAAGUUGCAGGGUAUAGACCCGAAACCCGGUGAUCUAGCCAUGGGCAGGUUGAAGGUUGGGUAACACUAACUGGAGGACCGAACCGACUAAUGUUGAAAAAUUAGCGGAUGACCUGUGGCUGGGGGUGAAAGGCCAAUCAAACCGGGAGAUAGCUGGUUCUCCCCGAAAGCUAUUUAGGUAGCGCCUCGUGAAUUCAUCUCCGGGGGUAGAGCACUGUUUCGGCUAGGGGGCCAUCCCGGCUUACCAACCCGAUGCAAACUGCGAAUACCGGAGAAUGUUAUCACGGGAGACACACGGCGGGUGCUAACGUCCGUCGUGAAGAGGGAAACAACCCAGACCGCCAGCUAAGGUCCCAAAGUCAUGGUUAAGUGGGAAACGAUGUGGGAAGGCCCAGACAGCCAGGAUGUUGGCUUAGAAGCAGCCAUCAUUUAAAGAAAGCGUAAUAGCUCACUGGUCGAGUCGGCCUGCGCGGAAGAUGUAACGGGGCUAAACCAUGCACCGAAGCUGCGGCAGCGACACUGUGUGUUGUUGGGUAGGGGAGCGUUCUGUAAGCCUGUGAAGGUGUGUCGUGAGGC
RNAcentral lists this ribosomal RNA (1376 nucleotides) under Salmonella enterica. RNAcentral describes it as "partial 23S ribosomal RNA". It matches the Rfam family "Bacterial large subunit ribosomal RNA", at positions 1 to 1269 of the family's 2925-position model. RNAcentral also lists the same sequence under 1 other name. Lineage: Bacteria; Pseudomonadati; Pseudomonadota; Gammaproteobacteria; Enterobacterales; Enterobacteriaceae. The record is from RNAcentral.